Pelobates cultripes (western spadefoot toad) is the source of this 495-nucleotide non-coding RNA. Lineage: Eukaryota; Metazoa; Chordata; Amphibia; Anura; Pelobatidae. The record is from the annotation of a GenBank genome assembly.
GGUGGAAAGCCUGGUAUCCUAUUCCCGAUAUAUUGAUGACCUGCUGUUCAUUUGGAAGGGGUCUGUUAGUUCAGCCAAGGAUUUUUUCUCUUUUUUAAAUUGUAAUGAAGAAGGCAUAGUUUUAACGGCAGAUUUUAGUAGUACUAUGGUGACCUAUUUGGAUUUAAAUAUAUACAUUGAGAACAAUAAAAUACAAACAAAAACACACUUUAAAGACGUGAAUGUAAAUAAUUAUAUAAGUACUGACAGCUGUCACAAUAAAGUUUGGCUUGAUAGUAUACCUAAAAGCCAAAUGAUGCGUCUAAAAAGAAACUGCUCAGAUAAAUCUGUGUUUUUAAAACAAGCAGACAUUUAAAAAAAAAGUUUUAUACAAAAAGGUUACAAUGCUAAACAUAUUGACCUAACUAUUAAUCAAACAGUUUUAAAAAACAGAAACCACCUCUUACAUAAGACUAAAACUCCAGUAACUCAGAACAAUCCUGACUUUACUUUACC